Molecule: long non-coding RNA, 1454 nt
Organism: Phodopus roborovskii (desert hamster)
Lineage: Eukaryota; Metazoa; Chordata; Mammalia; Rodentia; Cricetidae
Exons: 4
Source: RefSeq, a predicted model, not a curated record
GAGCAGGUCUAGAGAGGCCGCGGAUCCUCGGCCCGGCGCGCACCGAGCUACGGGAACAUCGGGGCGCGCGGGCCGGGCUGCGGCAGCCGUGCGGGAGGAAACGGCUUGAGUCCCUGGUGUCGCGGUUCGGUCCCGCCUCGCCGGGCUGAGCACAGGGUCUCAUGUAGCCAAGAUUGGCCUUGAACUCCUGAGCCUUCUGCUUCUGCCGCCCAAGUACUGAGACUGUAAAUGCUCAAUUACUGCUACCCUGGGCCUUUCCAACAGGAGCCAUUUUCCCUAACACUACCGUGCCACAGAGAUGUUACUCAAAGUAGCAGUGUUGUGUGCUAGCUGAGGUGGCUUGUCCUCGGGGGACAGAUGAUUGAGCAAUAGAUAUCACAGGGCCUGUUACAGAAAGUCACCCAUUAUCUCAAGGACCUCACGUCAGCAGGGGACAGUCGGCUUCAGGUCCCCAGGAGCCAGCUUGGAAGUAAUCAUCGACAGAAUGGUGUUGGUGCUUGGAGGAUGCUAGACCACUCUUGACUGUCCUGCCGGCCCUGGGUGUGUGGGCUCUGUGUCCCCACAUCUGCUAGAGAGUGCUGGCAUCUCACCACCAGCAGCCAGGAGGAACUAUCAGGCUAUAAACCCAAUAGAGGUGAUGGAAGACUUUCCCUCCAUCUCUGCCUGGGACCACUGGCAUCUGGCAGGCGAAAGUGUUCAGGAUACUUACUAAGGACACAACAAGGACAUGGCAGAACCAGGAUUCCUAUCUGAAGUUCUGACUCCAAGGAGAACACUUGAGCUGGGAACUUUGGUCCCUUGGAGGAGGGUAGUUGCAUUGCCUGACACUGAGGUGACAUUUGGGUCUCCACCUGAUGGCUGGUGUCUUCUGCCAUUGAUCCUGCAAGAUGAUCUUUCUGGACAGUUCUUCUCUGGCCUCUGGCCCUGGCUGAACCCGGGGCCGGUAGCUCUGGAUUGAGCUGUAGUCCUUGCCUCUGCCCUGGAUUCCCUGAGGUUUGGGUCACCAAAGCCCAGCACAUAAAAAGGUAUCCUUCCCCUGGGAGUUUCAAGUUCCCGCAGCUGCAGGCCUGCCUUAGGCCGUGACUUCUGUACAUCUCUCCCUUGGCCUGUCAGAUGUCUUGGGGUCAGACACCCAGUAGCUUUCUGGUUUACCUGACUACUGGAGAAGCAAUAUUCCCCUGUCACUUUUUUUUUUUUGGUCCUGGAGUUUGGACUCAGGGCUUUAAACAUACUAGGCAAGUGCUCUCUACCACUGAUGUAUAUGCCCAGGCCUUUUAUGAUUGAGACAAAAUCUUGCUUAUGUGGUCCAGCUUGGGCUUAAACUGUAAUCCUUUAGCCUCCAUCUCCAGCAUUAUAGCAUUAUAGCUGUGUACCACCCUGCCCACAUGGCUUUCCUGUUUUGACUCCUGUGUCAGGAAAACAACCCUGGGUGAAAGUAGGGUCCAUUCCUGUUG